This 468-nucleotide ribosomal RNA is filed under the name uncultured bacterium. Its description in RNAcentral is "partial 16S ribosomal RNA". It matches the Rfam family "Bacterial small subunit ribosomal RNA", at positions 28 to 507 of the family's 1533-position model. The record is from RNAcentral.
GACGAACGCUGGCGGCGUGCUUAACACAUGCAAGUCGAACGGAAAGGCCCUGCUUUUGUGGGGUGCUCGAGUGGCGAACGGGUGAGUAACACGUGUGUAACCUGCCCUUAACUUUGUGAUAACUUCAGGAAACUGGGGCUAAUACCGGAUAGGAUCUCCUGCUGCAUGGUGGGGGUUGGAAAGUUUCGGCGGUUGUGGAUGGACUCGCGGCUUAUCAGCUUGUUGGUGGGGUAGUGGCUGACCAAGGCUUUGACGGGUAGCCGGCCUGAGAGGGUGACCGGCCACAUUGGGACUGAGAUACGGCCCAGACGCCUACGGGAGGCAGCAGUGGGGAAUAUUGCACAAUGGGCGGAAGCCUGAUGCAGCAACGCCGCGUGCGGGAUGACGGCCUUCGGGUUGUAAACCGCUUUCGACUGUGACGAAGCGUGAGUGACGGUAAUGGGUAAAGAAGCACCGGCUAACUACGUG